AGGAGCUUAGGAUAACUUUAAACCGAGAACCUUCAAAGUUCUAAAUAGGGAUUUAAACCCCUAGCUCCUG
RNAcentral lists this transfer RNA (70 nucleotides) under Uma scoparia. Its description in RNAcentral is "tRNA-Trp". It matches the Rfam family "tRNA". From Rfam's summary of the family: Transfer RNA (tRNA) molecules are approximately 80 nucleotides in length. Their secondary structure includes four short double-helical elements and three loops (D, anti-codon, and T loops). Further hydrogen bonds mediate the characteristic L-shaped molecular structure. tRNAs have two regions of fundamental functional importance: the anti-codon, which is responsible for specific mRNA codon recognition, and the 3' end, to which the tRNAs corresponding amino acid is attached (by aminoacyl-tRNA synthetases). tRNAs cope with the degeneracy of the genetic code in two manners: having more than one tRNA (with a specific anti-codon) for a particular amino acid; and 'wobble' base-pairing, i.e. permitting non-standard base-pairing at the 3rd anti-codon position. Lineage: Eukaryota; Metazoa; Chordata; Lepidosauria; Squamata; Phrynosomatidae. The record is from RNAcentral. RNAcentral also lists the same sequence under 1 other name.